Molecule: small RNA, 92 nt
Filed under: Leishmania major strain Friedlin
Lineage: Eukaryota; Euglenozoa; Kinetoplastea; Trypanosomatida; Trypanosomatidae
Description: Leishmania major c/D snoRNA
Source: RNAcentral
CGGUGUGAUGAGUCUGCUAAGAUGUACGCAACAUUUACAAUUGGAAGACGAGUCUGAACACUGAUGCACACACUGAUAAACGGCACUGACGC